Olea europaea var. sylvestris is the source of this 649-nucleotide long non-coding RNA. RefSeq lists it as uncharacterized. The transcript has 4 exons. Lineage: Eukaryota; Viridiplantae; Streptophyta; Magnoliopsida; Lamiales; Oleaceae. The record is from RefSeq and is a predicted model, not a curated record.
ACGAGACUUUAACCUCUCUUCCAUCUCUCUUUCUCUCUCACGCCCACAGUCCCACUCUACUUUCCACGGCACCGCCUCUCUCAUUUUCUCACCAAAUCGUCGACAUCGCCCGGCGUCGGUAGCCCAUUUUCCACGGUCAAGGGUCGUCGGGGCACGAGACCCUAUAGACCAGACAGUAGGAGAUUCGACCGACUCGCUUCCUCUUCUACGGUUGCAAUAAGGAUUGGUGCUUCAUUUGUGAGUUUGAAGGUCUGAUUCUAAAGGGACAGGAGCUGAGAUCUAGUUUAUCUCCAAUUAGGAUACUGUCUCAAAUUCUAAAGUCAUCUAAUAAGUCAUGGAAGACAAGAAGAUGCCCACGAGUUUUUGAGGUAUGCAGUAGAUACAAUGAGGCCUUAAUGGGGAAGCAUUGAGAAUCUGAAAGAAUUGUAUACUGAGAUAAUUGCAAGAAGGGGAUAAAUCACCUAGUUUGAUGACUAUAGAGUGGGGCCGAUAGGGUGAUUUCACUAACUACUUAGUAUUUUUUUUUUUUUUUUUUUGGGAAAAUGUAUUGGAUUUUUAGGUGUUUUAGAAUUUUGGAUCUAGAUUUUGUAUGAAUAUUGUUACAUUUUAGAGUUCAAUUAAUAAUGAUUAUUGGAGUUAUUUGAUAUAA